Molecule: ribosomal RNA, 543 nt
Filed under: Triticum aestivum (bread wheat)
Lineage: Eukaryota; Viridiplantae; Streptophyta; Magnoliopsida; Poales; Poaceae
Description: partial small subunit ribosomal RNA
Source: RNAcentral
AUGUGCCCGACUCCUGAUGCCAUGGAUUGUAACGGAGGUCACUGUCUCAUUUAUCAGUUCUCGCCGAGGGUAUACCUGACAAACCUCCGUACCUUGAUGUUCUCCCCCAGGCCGGCGAUCGUCUCCUUAACGAGAUCCUUCACCGUCUUGCUGUCAUCCUUGAUGAAGGGCUGCUCCAGGAGGGCCAUCACUCCGAGCCUCUUUGAUAUCCGCCCUUCCACGAUCUUCUCCCUAAUGUUUUCGGGUUUCGACUGCAGGUCCUCCCUCUGCAUCUCAAUCUCCUUCUCCUUGCUGACAACACUCUCUGGUAUGUCCUCCAUUGAGACAUAUUCAACCUGUGGGCAUGCCACCACUUGCAUUGCGAGGUCAUUCACCAGCUCCUUGAAUUUCUCAUUGCGAGCCACAAAGUCGGUCUCAGAGUUGAUUUCAAUCAUGCACCCUAUGCGGUUGUCGUGGAUGUACGAGCCAAUCAGGCCUUCAGCGGUUAGGCGAGACGACUUCUUGUCUGCGGACGAGAGGCCCUUUUUUCUGAGGAACUCCUGA